AUCACAUGGUGAGGACACCUUCUGGCGUAUCCUUUGAGACGUUUCCAAGCUUCACUAAGGGAUUCUUGACUGUCUUGCCUAAAAGAGUUGAUAUCGCUUAUGUACUU
Arabis alpina (gray rockcress) is the source of this 107-nucleotide non-coding RNA. The record is from Rfam. Lineage: Eukaryota; Viridiplantae; Streptophyta; Magnoliopsida; Brassicales; Brassicaceae.